This 329-nucleotide unclassified non-coding RNA is filed under the name soil metagenome. RNAcentral's name for it is "partial contains 5.8S ribosomal RNA, internal transcribed spacer 2, and large subunit ribosomal RNA". The stretch from base 1 to 120 matches the Rfam family "5.8S ribosomal RNA", at positions 35 to 154 of the family's 154-position model. The record is from RNAcentral.
GAUGAAGAACGUAGCGAAAUGCGAUAAGUAAUGUGAAUUGCAGAAUUCAGUGAAUCAUCGAAUCUUUGAACGCACAUUGCGCCCUCUGGUAUUCCGGGGGGCAUGCCUGUUCGAGCGUCAUUAUAACCACUCAAGCUCUCGCUUGGUAUUGGGGUUCGCGGUUUCGCGGCCCCUAAAAUCAGUGGCGGUGCCUGUCGGCUCUACGCGUAGUAAUACUUCUCGCGAUUGAGUUCGAUAGGUCUACUUGCCAGUAACCCCAAAUUUUUACAGGUUGACCUCGGAUCAGGUAGGGAUACCCGCUGAACUUAAGCAUAUCAAUAAGCGGAGGA